Molecule: long non-coding RNA, 150 nt
Organism: Lepidothrix coronata (blue-crowned manakin)
Lineage: Eukaryota; Metazoa; Chordata; Aves; Passeriformes; Pipridae
Exons: 2
Source: RefSeq, a predicted model, not a curated record
GGCGGGGGCUGCGGGCGCCCCACUGGCACUUCAACGCCCACGAGCACGGCUUCCUGCUCCAGGGCUCCGCCUGGAUCGGCGUCAUCGGCCCCGACAACGCCACCGUCACCACCUACAACGUCACCGCCGGCCAGGUCGUCUUCUUCCCGA